RNAcentral lists this ribosomal RNA (1446 nucleotides) under uncultured bacterium. Its description in RNAcentral is "16S ribosomal RNA". It matches the Rfam family "Bacterial small subunit ribosomal RNA". The record is from RNAcentral.
GAUGAACGCUAGCGGCAGGCUUAACACAUGCAAGUCGAGGGGCAGCAAUAAGUAAGCAAUACAUAGUUGGCGACCGGCGGACGGGUGCGUAACGCGUAUGCAACCUACCUAUAACAGGGGGAUAAUCGAGAGAAAUUUUGUUUAAUACCCCGUAACACUAAGAGAGGCAUCUUUAUUAGUUGAAAGAUUUUAUUGGUUAUAGAUGGGCAUGCGUAGCAUUAGUUAGAUGGUGAGGUAACGGCUCACCAUGACUACGAUGCUUAGGGGAACUGAGAGGUUUAUCCCCCACACUGGUACUGAGACACGGACCAGACUCCUACGGGAGGCAGCAGUGAGGAAUAUUGGUCAAUGGACGGAAGUCUGAACCAGCCAUGCCGCGUGCAGGAAUACGGCUCUAUGAGUUGUAAACUGCUUUUGUAAGAGGGUAAAAGAUAGCACGUGUGCUAAAUUGAAAGUAUCUUACGAAUAAGGAUCGGCUAACUCCGUGCCAGCAGCCGCGGUAAUACGGAGGAUUCGAGCGUUAUCCGGAUUUAUUGGGUUUAAAGGGUGCGUAGGUUGUUUAAUAAGUUAGUGGUAAAAGACUAUGGCUUAACCAUAGCACGCCAUUAAGACUGUUAGACUAGAGAAUAGGUGCAGCUGGCGGAAUGUGUAGUGUAGCGGUGAAAUGCAUAGAUAUUACACAGUACACCGAUUGCGAAGGCAGCUGGCUAAUCUAUAUCUGACACUGAGGCACGAAAGCGUGGGGAUCAAACGGGAUUAGAUACCCCGGUAGUCCACGCUGUAAACGAUGAUAACUCGACGUUGUUAGUUUUCUAUCAGUGUCUAAGCGAAAGCGAUAAGUUAUCCACCUGGGGAGUACGACCGCAAGGUUGAAACUCAAAGGAAUUGACGGGGGCCCGCACAAGCGGAGGAACAUGUGGUUUAAUUCGAUGAUACGCGAGGAACCUUACCCGGGCUUGAAAGUUAGUGAAUAAUUUAGAGAUAAGUUAGUCCUUCGGGACACGAAACUAGGUGCUGCAUGGUUGUCGUCAGCUCGUGCUGUGAGGUGUCGGGUUAAGUCCCAUAACGAGCGCAACCCCUAUCGAUAGUUACCAGCGAGUUAAGUCGGGGACUCUAUCGAGACUGCCAGUGUAAGCUGUGAGGAGGGUGGGGAUGACGUCAAAUCAGCACGGCCCUUACGUCCGGGGCGACACACGUGUUACAAUGGGUGGUACAGAGAGCAGCGAGACAGUGAUGUUGAGCGAAUCUUGAAAGCCACUCUCAGUUCGGAUUGGAGGCUGAAACUCGCCUCCAUGAAGUUGGAUUCGCUAGUAAUCGCAUAUCAGCCAUGAUGCGGUGAAUACGUUCCCGGGCCUUGUACACACCGCCCGUCAAGCCAUGGAAGUUGGGGGUGCCUGAAGUAUGUUACCGAGAGGGACGUCCUAGGGCAAAACCGAUAACUGGGGC